Small nucleolar RNA from Macleaya cordata, 76 nucleotides. It matches the Rfam family "Small nucleolar RNA R21". From Rfam's summary of the family: snoR21 is a member of the C/D class of snoRNA which contain the C (UGAUGA) and D (CUGA) box motifs. Most of the members of the box C/D family function in directing site-specific 2'-O-methylation of substrate RNAs. The record is from Rfam. NCBI's taxonomy places the organism in Eukaryota, Viridiplantae, Streptophyta, Magnoliopsida, Ranunculales, Papaveraceae.
CAUCCCUAUGAAGACCAUGUUCCGAAAUUAAAGUAGUGGCCUGAUCUUUAUUGAUGAGUUCUGAUUCUGAGGGAUA